RNAcentral lists this ribosomal RNA (761 nucleotides) under uncultured Treponema sp. RNAcentral describes it as "bacterial SSU rRNA". It matches the Rfam family "Bacterial small subunit ribosomal RNA", at positions 28 to 776 of the family's 1533-position model. The record is from RNAcentral. Lineage: Bacteria; Pseudomonadati; Spirochaetota; Spirochaetia; Treponematales; Treponemataceae.
AACGAACGCUGGCGGCGCGUCUUAAGCAUGCAAGUCGAACGGUAAGGGAGAGCUUGCUCUCCCCUAGAGUGGCGGACUGGUGAGUAACGCGUGGGUGACCUGCCCUGAAGAUGGGGAUAGCUAGUAGAAAUAUUAGAUAAUACCGAAUGUGCUCAUUUACAUAAAGGUAAAUGAGGAAAGGAGCUACGGCUCCGCUUCAGGAUGGGCCCGCGUCCCAUUAGCUGGUUGGUGAGGUAAAGGCCCACCAAGGCAACGAUGGGUAUCCGGCCUGAGAGGGUGAACGGACACAUUGGGACUGAGAUACGGCCCAAACUCCUACGGGAGGCAGCAGCUAAGAAUCUUCCGCAAUGGACGAAAGUCUGACGGAGCGACGCCGUGUGAAUGAAGAAGGCCGAAAGGUUGUAAAAUUCUUUUGCAGAUGAAGAAUAAGGAGAAGAGGGAAUGCUUCUUUGAUGACGGUAGUCAUGCGAAUAAGCCCCGGCUAAUUACGUGCCAGCAGCCGCGGUAACACGUAAGGGGCGAGCGUUGUUCGGAAUUAUUGGGCGUAAAGGGUAUGUAGGCGGUUAGGUAAGCCUGGUGUGAAAUCUACGAGCUCAACUCGUAAACUGCAUUGGGUACUGCUUGACUUGAAUCACGGAGGGGAAACCGGAAUUCCAAGUGUAGGGGUGGAAUCUGUAGAUAUUUGGAAGAACACCGGUGGCGAAGGCGGGUUUCUGGCCGAUGAUUGACGCUGAUAUACGAAGGUGCGGGGAGCAAACAGG